RNAcentral lists this ribosomal RNA (253 nucleotides) under uncultured prokaryote. RNAcentral describes it as "partial 16S ribosomal RNA". It matches the Rfam family "Bacterial small subunit ribosomal RNA", at positions 524 to 776 of the family's 1533-position model. The record is from RNAcentral.
UACGUAGGGGGCGAGCGUUGUCCGGAGUUACUGGGCGUAAAGCGCACGCAGGCGGUUCUGCGCGUUGGCGGGGCCAGCUCGUUGCUUAACGACGGGAGGGCCGGCAAGACGGUGGGACUGGAGAGCCGUAGAGGGACCUGGAAUUCCGGGUGGAGUGGUGAAAUGCGUAGAUAUCCGGAGGAAUACCAAAGGCGAAGGCAGGGUCCUGGGCGGCGUCUGACGCUGAGGUGCGAAAGCCAGGGGAGCGAACGGG